Molecule: long non-coding RNA, 1015 nt
Organism: Magnolia sinica
Lineage: Eukaryota; Viridiplantae; Streptophyta; Magnoliopsida; Magnoliales; Magnoliaceae
Exons: 3
Source: RefSeq, a predicted model, not a curated record
UCUGUGUAAUAAGUUGUCUUCACCAUCAUAGUCUUUUCCUAGCUGUUUGCGGUUGUCUUUGUAACUCAUAUUUUACAUUAAAUACAAACCUUAGGGCUUCUUCUUUUUUUUUUUUUGGUAAACAGAGGUUGAAUAGCAUGUGAAACAGUUGAUACAUACCAAAUCAAUUACAAUCCCCAAUAGAUUUGAUGGAUUAUCAUCUGAAUAUCUUUCAUUUUUGCCUAUUUACAAAUGAGUUUGUUUAGCUAAUGUCAGGACGCGGGAUCACCAAUCUCACUAAUUGGAGUCUACAUAGAGAGAUGGUCUGAUGAUACGAAUUAUCUAUGUUUUGUUCUGGAUGCUAUGUUUAAUGGGCCACUAUAAGAAACUUUUACUGAAAUCUUCCCCAUGUGUAGAUGAAUCAUGAAUGUAGGGCAUUCAAAUGAAAAUUUUCAACCAUACAACACAAAAAUAAAAUGGUCCGAGAUCAUCCUUGAAGUUUGAUUAUUGGAUGCAUGUCAGUGCUGAUCUUGAGCAUGAAGGAAAGCAAACAGAAAAACAGGCCGGCUAUUGUACUUCCGCAUAGCCUUACAAAACCAAGGAAUGGGUGCGGCCAUUACUCGAGAUGAAAAAUGAAGCAAGUUGCUAGAUUGGGAGAAGCACUUCAACUUCAUCUUAGGGAUAGAUGGAGGCCUUCUGUAUCUUCACCAAGAUUUGAGGUAAUUCAUUGAGAACUCGGAGGUUUGUUGGCUAGUUUCGAAGCUUCGGAUUCAACUAUAGUAAUCAUUUCAGGCAGUUUAAUCCAAACUAAAAAUUUUGUUCUCUUUCAAUUGGAUUGGUUUGGAUUCGAUUGAAAAUUUCUUUUUGGCUUCAUGUCGGCUUGUUUGCAUGAUGCGAAUUACUUGCAAUUUUUUAUUUUUUAUUUUAGAUUUAGUAUGUUGGUUGAUUUAUGAAAUAUUUAGUAAGGGGUUAAAUAAAAGGCUAAAAAAUGCUAUAAAGCAUGUAAUAACCAUUAUAACUGAAACAGUCAAUGGAA